UGGGGAAUUGUUCGCAAUGGGCGCAAGCCUGACGACGCAACGCCGCGUGGAGGAUGACGGUCUUCGGAUUGUAAACUCCUGUUGAUCGGGACGAAUAGCGUCGGCCGAAUACGCAGACGAAUGACGGUACCGGUUGAGGAAGCCACGGCUAACUCUGUGCCAGCAGCCGCGGUAAUACAGAGGUGGCAAGCGUUGUUCGGAAUUACUGGGCGUAAAGGGCGCGUAGGCGGCCUGCUAAGUCGGACGUGAAAGCCCCAGGCUUAACCUGGGAACGGCGUCCGAUACUGGCUGGCUUGGAUUCGGGAGAGGGAUGUGGAAUUCCAGGUGUAGCGGUGAAAUGCGUAGAUAUCUGGAGGAACACCGGUGGCGAAGGCGGCAUCCUGGACCGAGAUCGACGCUGAGGCGCGAAAGCUAGGGGAGCAAACGG
Molecule: ribosomal RNA, 427 nt
Filed under: uncultured bacterium
Lineage: Bacteria
Description: bacterial SSU rRNA
Rfam family: Bacterial small subunit ribosomal RNA
Source: RNAcentral